Molecule: long non-coding RNA, 2697 nt
Filed under: Homo sapiens (human)
Lineage: Eukaryota; Metazoa; Chordata; Mammalia; Primates; Hominidae
Description: HSALNT0055387
Source: RNAcentral
GGGACCCAGUGGGAGGUAAUUGAAUCAUGGGGGUGGGUCUUUCUCAUGCUGUUCUCACGAUAGUGAAUAAGUCUCACAAGAUCUGAAGGUUAUAUAAAGAGAAGUUCCCUACACCACUUCUGUCUUUGCCUGCUGCCAUCCACGUGAUAUGUGACUUGCUGCUCCUUGCCUUCUGCCAUAAUUGUGAGGCCUCCUCAGCCACACGGAAAUGCUUAUAGGCAUAAGAGACUUGCCUUGUCUCAGAUGAAACUUUGGACUGUGGACUUUUGAGUUAAUGCUGAUAUUAGGACUCUGCUUACCCUUUGUGAAUAAGCCCAGUGAAUCUGCUGAGUGAUGAGAGAGAGAGUGGGCCAGUCACUUCAUUGCUCCAGGUCCUGCACAGUUCAAUAUUAAAUGGAGUUUCUACCCUAGCAUGAAAGGAGGAAGAGAGAAAAUCGGAUCCAAGAGAAAUUCGGCUCCAACAUUCCCCAAAUAUUAGAGUGAGACCAUCUGGAAUUCAAAAUGUUAUUGUGGUUAUGUUGAAGAUGUAAAUAUUCUCCCUGCUGUGAGUAUUACUGCAGCUGCCCAAAGAUGCUUUAUUUUAAAGAUGUGGAUACAGGAAGAUAAAAGCAUCAGAAACACUGCAUGGGAAAAUCAUUCAGACUGCAGCUUCCUGGUUUUAGACAUCCCCACUGGCAAUUGGGACAUCUAUUUUGGAGAUGUAAUUGAAAAGACUGAAGAAUGUACUGAGGACCUUCUGGCUGAUAGAAGCUGACAAAGAAGCCAAGAUUGGUGAAGAUUUCUGCAAUACCUGAGUUUCUAAUCACAACAACAAAAAUGACCUGGAUAGAAAACCUUGGAGAUAGUAAUUGAUGGGCAUCACGUAGCUGGUUGCUGGAGAAACACUGAAGCAGAACUUGUAAUAUCUUCAAAACAAGUGAAGGCCAGGAAUCAGAAAUGCUUCUGAAGGUCAGCUGCCUCUCCAGCCAUCUAUGAAGAGCUAUGGUUCUGAAUCCUGGCUAAUAUCAGAAUCAUCCUGGGAGCUUUUGAAAAUCCUGAUGCUCAAGUCACACUCCAUACUCAGACAAGAAGCUGAGUCUCAGAGAGAGAAAAUGACUCAUCCAAGCAAGGUUUGAGACCUAAGAAAGGUUGUGUAAGCAGAAGCUGGAAGACCCUUGAAAAGAGCAUUCAUUCAAGAAAUGAAGCAUGAGAUAGGAUGGAAGGAGGGAAGAAAGACAAGCAUAUGGCAUAUCAGGUCUCUUCCAGUGCUAAAGGCUGCCUAUGAUACUCAUCUGACCUGAUUUCUCCUGCACAGUGUUGCAACUGACGAGUAGCAGACUUGCCCUUGCCUGCAUUUGGGGGGAUGGCUGAGACUUUCCUUACAGAAAGCCCUACUUUCAGCAUGAACACUAACCCAGUUUAUUGGCUCAGGGUGUAGAGAGUUGCCUUGUCACUGGCGAAGUCAGAUGCAGCCAGUACCAGAGCUCUGCACUAGCUGUGAACACUAAGGAAGAAUAGCUGAGUGAGGAAGCAGAGUGCCAGGCAGCACAUCCUUCUUCAGGUGUUUCCUGCCCUGGGCCAGAUCCCAGGCACUGCAGCAAUAUCUCUGCAUGAUCUAGGGCUCCUGGAAAUAGCCCAUUAAGGGCAAAACUCGCUGCCCAGAAAACAUUAGAACAUUAAAAGAGCAGGGUCUCAUCUGAUUGUCUUGGUUUCCUGAGGCUCAUUCAGUCUGUGUCCACUGGUUUCAGUCUGAGUUCUCUGCACUUUGAGGAUGCAGACAGUGAAGUUCUCCCAUGGUUAUAGGGGGAGAGAUCAUAGGAAUGCUAUGGAAAGAGGCCUGAAGUCAGAGCCAGCUAGUGGUUAUUAUUUAUUAAUUGCCUGUGAGGUGCCAGGCGCACAUAUUAGACCAUAUGUGAUUGCAGUGAGCCACCCGGAUCCCCUUCAAGCUGCUGCUGCAGCUGAUGGAAGUCCUAUUGGCAGACAGCCUUCUCUCAUCAGCCCCUUCAGGACUUGCCUCAGUUGCAGAGAGCUGCCUUCCCCAAGAUCACACCCUUCCCUGGGGACUCACAACCAAUGGCUGAUCCAGAAGAAUCCAUAAAGCCCGUAUCAUUUCAGCCCAAUUUAGGACAGCUUUGUUGAGCCAUUAGACCUACAUGCAGCCCAACCUCUCCUUCUACCCACUUCUUCUUUCUUCCCUUUCCUUCCACGGUGUCUGUUCCAAGCACUUGCCUUAAUAAACAUGUAACAGGUUAAACUCUGUCUCGAUGUCUGCUUCAAGGAGAACCCAACCUGUGACAGUGAUAACAGAUAAAAACAAAGGACAUCACUUUUCCCUGCCUUACUUUCCAUUUACCACUAAAAAGGGUCUUGGACUUGCCCACUCAGUUUCUUCUCUUUCUUCACUCUUUGGAGAUGGUCCCUCCACUACCACAGACACAAAAAAGAAGAGUUGGGAAGAGAGAGGGGUGAAAACAUUUGGGGCACUGCAGGCCUAGUGCUAGGUGACUGAAGACUACCUGGAGGGUGCAGGAAGUGACUGUUUCUCCAUCAUGUAUUGUAUUGCUAUAGUGACUUAAAAAACAAGUAGGUGAUUUGUGUUUUUUUGGUUUUUUUUUGUUUUUUUGGUUUUUUUUUUGAGACAGAGUCUCGCUCUGUCACCCAGGCUGGAGUGCAGUGGCGCUAUCUUGGCUCACUGCAAGCUCCACCUCCUGGGUUCAC